AUUUCUACUAUUGUAGAUCUUUUUUU
This 26-nucleotide unclassified non-coding RNA is filed under the name synthetic construct. RNAcentral's name for it is "RNA (26-MER) from synthetic construct (PDB 8D49, chain B)". The record is from RNAcentral.